AAUACCAAGGCGCUUGAGAGAACUCGGGUGAAGGAACUAGGCAAAAUGGUGCCGUAACUUCGGGAGAAGGCACGCUGACACGUAGGUGAAGUGAUUUACUCACGGAGCUGAAGUCAGUCGAAGAUACCAGCUGGCUGCAACUGUUUAUUAAAAACACAGCACUGUGCAAACACGAAAGUGGACGUAUACGGUGUGACGCCUGCCCGGUGCCGGAAGGUUAAUUGAUGGGGUCAGCGCAAGCGAAGCUCCUGAUCGAAGCCCCGGUAAACGGCGGCCGUAACUAUAACGGUCCUAAGGUAGCGAAAUUCCUUGUCGGGUAAGUUCCGACCUGCACGAAUGGCGUAAUGAUGGCCAGGCUGUCUCCACCCGAGACUCAGUGAAAUUGAACUCGCUGUGAAGAUGCAGUGUACCCGCGGCAAGACGGAAAGACCCCGUGAACCUUUACUAUAGCUUGACACUGAACAUUGAGCCUUGAUGUGUAGGAUAGGUGGGAGGCUUUGAAGUGUGGACGCCAGUCUGCAUGGAGCCGACCUUGAAAUACCACCCUUUAAUGUUUGAUGUUCUAACGUGGACCCGUUACCCGGGUUGCGGACAGUGUCUGGUGGGUAGUUUGACUGGGGCGGUCUCCUCCUAAAGAGUAACGGAGGAGCACGAAGGUUGGCUAAUCCUGGUCGGACAUCAGGAGGUUAGUGCAAUGGCAUAAGCCAGCUUGACUGCGAGCGUGACGGCGCGAGCAGGUGCGAAAGCAGGUCAUAGUGAUCCGGUGGUUCUGAAUGGAAGGGCCAUCGCUCAACGGAUAAAAGGUACUCCGGGGAUAACAGGCUGAUACCGCCCAAGAGUUCAUAUCGACGGCGGUGUUUGGCACCUCGAUGUCGGCUCAUCACAUCCUGGGGCUGAAGUAGGUCCCAAGGGUAUGGCUGUUCGCCAUUUAAAGUGGUACGCGAGCUGGGUUUAGAACGUCGUGAGACAGUUCGGUCCCUAUCUGCCGUGGGCGCUGGAGAACUGAGGGGGGCUGCUCCUAGUACGAGAGGACCGGAGUGGACGCAUCACUGGUGUUCGGGUUGUCAUGCCAAUGGCACUGCCCGGUAGCUAAAUGCGGAAGAGAUAAGUGCUGAAAGCAUCUAAGCACGAAACUUGCCCCGAGAUGAGUUCUCCCUGAGACUUUAGGUCUCCUGAAGGAACGUUGAAGACGACGACGUUGAUAGGCCGGGUGUGUAAGCGCAGCGAUGCGUUGAGCUAACCGGUACUAAUGAACCGUGAGGCUUAACCUU
Molecule: ribosomal RNA, 1271 nt
Filed under: Salmonella enterica
Lineage: Bacteria; Pseudomonadati; Pseudomonadota; Gammaproteobacteria; Enterobacterales; Enterobacteriaceae
Description: partial 23S ribosomal RNA
Rfam family: Bacterial large subunit ribosomal RNA
Source: RNAcentral